This 427-nucleotide ribosomal RNA is filed under the name uncultured Massilia sp. RNAcentral describes it as "bacterial SSU rRNA". It matches the Rfam family "Bacterial small subunit ribosomal RNA", at positions 355 to 774 of the family's 1533-position model. Lineage: Bacteria; Pseudomonadati; Pseudomonadota; Betaproteobacteria; Burkholderiales; Oxalobacteraceae. The record is from RNAcentral.
UGGGGAAUUUUGGACAAUGGGGGCAACCCUGAUCCAGCAAUGCCGCGUGAGUGAAGAAGGCCUUCGGGUUGUAAAGCUCUUUUGUCAGGGAAGAAAAGGCUGCAGCGAAUACCUGCGGCUGAUGACGGUACCUGAAGAAUAAGCACCGGCUAACUACGUGCCAGCAGCCGCGGUAAUACGUAGGGUGCAAGCGUUAAUCGGAAUUACUGGGCGUAAAGCGUGCGCAGGCGGUUUUGUAAGUCUGUCGUGAAAUCCCCGGGCUCAACCUGGGAAUUGCGAUGGAGACUGCAAGGCUGGAGUCUGGCAGAGGGGGGUAGAAUUCCACGUGUAGCAGUGAAAUGCGUAGAGAUGUGGAGGAACACCGAUGGCGAAGGCAGCCCCCUGGGUCAAGACUGACGCUCAUGCACGAAAGCGUGGGGAGCAAACA